GUGGGGAAUCUUGCGCAAUGGGCGAAAGCCUGACGCAGCCAUGCCGCGUGGAUGAUGAAGGUCUUAGGAUUGUAAAUUCCUUUCACCGGUGAAGAUAAUGACUGUAGCCGGAGAAGAAGCCCCGGCUAACUUCGUGCCAGCAGCCGCGGUAAUACGAAGGGGGCUAGCGUUGCUCGGAAUUACUGGGCGUAAAGGGAGCGUAGGCGGACAUUUAAGUCAGGGGUGAAAUCCCGAGGCUCAACGUCGGAACUGCCUUUGAUACUGGGUGUCUUGAGUGUGAGAGAGGUGAGUGGAACUCCGAGUGUAGAGGUGAAAUUCGUAGAUAUUCGGAAGAACACCAGUGGCGAAGGCGACUCACUGGCUCAUUACUGACGCUGAGGCUCGAAAGCGUGGGGAGCAAACAGGAUUAGAUACCCUGGUAGUCC
RNAcentral lists this ribosomal RNA (425 nucleotides) under uncultured bacterium. Its description in RNAcentral is "partial 16S ribosomal RNA". It matches the Rfam family "Bacterial small subunit ribosomal RNA", at positions 354 to 796 of the family's 1533-position model. The record is from RNAcentral.